This 196-nucleotide non-coding RNA is filed under the name Polyangiaceae bacterium. Its description in RNAcentral is "6S RNA". It matches the Rfam family "6S / SsrS RNA". From Rfam's summary of the family: E. coli 6S RNA was the first non coding RNA to be sequenced, but its function was unknown until recently. It consists of 184 nucleotides that fold into an extended hairpin structure with a large single-stranded internal bulge. The record is from RNAcentral. Lineage: Bacteria; Pseudomonadati; Myxococcota; Polyangiales; Polyangiaceae.
CUCCCUCUGCGGAGACUCGCUAGCACAACAGUAACGAAUCCCGCUAAUUAUUACCCUAGGGAAGUAAGAUGUGGAGCGGAGAGCUGCGCCCGACUCGAAUUCGUCGGGAAGCCAGAAACUUCACACGCGCUGCCCACCUUUUUAUCAUGGGGUUCGGAACUGUAGUUUUUCGCGGCGGUCUUUGCGGUCAGGAGUC